CCCAUUGAUUGAUGGUGCUUGCACCUGAUUGAUUUUCCUUGCCGACGAGUGGCGGACGGGUGAGUAACACGUAGGUAACCCGCCCAGAAGCGGGGGACAACAUUUGGAAACAGAUGCUAAUACCGCAUAACAGCGUUGUUCGCAUGAACAACGCUUAAAAGAUGGCUUCUCGCUAUCACUUCUGGAUGGACCUGCGGUGCAUUAGCUUGUUGGUGGGGUAACGGCCUACCAAGGCGAUGAUGCAUAGCCGAGUUGAGAGACUGAUCGGCCACAAUGGGACUGAGACACGGCCCAUACUCCUACGGGAGGCAGCAGUAGGGAAUCUUCCACAAUGGGCGCAAGCCUGAUGGAGCAACACCGCGUGAGUGAAGAAGGGUUUCGGCUCGUAAAGCUCUGUUGUUAAAGAAGAACACGUAUGAGAGUAACUGUUCAUACGUUGACGGUAUUUAACCAGAAAGUCACGGCUAACUACGUGCCAGCAGCCGCGGUAAUACGUAGGUGGCAAGCGUUAUCCGGAUUUAUUGGGCGUAAAGAGAGUGCAGGCGGUUUUCUAAGUCUGAUGUGAAAGCCUUCGGCUUAACCGGAGAAGUGCAUCGGAAACUGGAUAACUUGAGUGCAGAAGAGGGUAGUGGAACUCCAUGUGUAGCGGUGGAAUGCGUAGAUAUAUGGAAGAACACCAGUGGCGAAGGCGGCUACCUGGUCUGCAACUGACGCUGAGACUCGAAAGCAUGGGUAGCGA
This 739-nucleotide ribosomal RNA is filed under the name uncultured bacterium. RNAcentral's name for it is "bacterial SSU rRNA". It matches the Rfam family "Bacterial small subunit ribosomal RNA", at positions 62 to 771 of the family's 1533-position model. The record is from RNAcentral.